GACAGAGGGGGCAAGCGUUGCUCGGAAUUACUGGGCGUAAAGGGCGCGUAGGCGGGAUGGCAAGUCGGUCGUGAAAUCCUUCGGCUCAACCGAAGAACGUCGAUCGAUACUGCUGUUCUUGAGGGUUGCAGAGGAGACUGGAAUUCCCGGUGUAGCGGUGAAAUGUGUAGAGAUCGGGAGGAACACCGGUGGCGAAGGCGGGUCUCUGGGCCUUACCUGACGCUGAGGAGCGAAAGCGUGGGGAGCGAACAGG
RNAcentral lists this ribosomal RNA (253 nucleotides) under uncultured bacterium. RNAcentral's name for it is "partial 16S ribosomal RNA". It matches the Rfam family "Bacterial small subunit ribosomal RNA", at positions 524 to 776 of the family's 1533-position model. The record is from RNAcentral.